This 67-nucleotide transfer RNA is filed under the name Ophioplocus japonicus. RNAcentral describes it as "tRNA-Gly". The record is from RNAcentral. Lineage: Eukaryota; Metazoa; Echinodermata; Ophiuroidea; Amphilepidida; Ophiolepididae.
UUCUCGUUAGUAUAGUAAGUAUCCUUGACUUCCAAUUAAGAGGACUAGAGUAGAUCUAGAUGGGAAA